GCGAGUCUGGGCAAGGGAGAAGGAUUUUCUCUCUCAGCAGCCUUUAUUUCAUGGAUUUCAGCAGGAUGGUGAACAAAGAGCAAAGCCAGGCCAUGUGUUCACACAAUCAACAGCUCCACUUCACCUGCGGAUCCCUGAAAGAGAAACACAAAGACCGGGACCACACACAGGAUGUUUCUGCUGUGAAAGGAAAUGAGGAAGAGUUUUGCAGCCUGGCAAUGAAUGGGACUGUGCUCAGCAGCUGUGGGCACCGGGCAGUUCGCACAUCAGACUGGGCUCACCCUGCUCAACAAGACAGGUGAGAAAUGAGGAUCAGUCUCUGAUGGUCCUCCAACAAACUGUCAAGCACUCCACUUGCACCAUGUCCCUGUCUACAGUGGAGAGGAGUCAUUCCCAGCUGUAAAAAUUGGGAGUGAUGCCCUCUUGAAAAGAGCCAUUGCUGCAUUGGCAGCUAUCCCUUGAGAGAGUCCAGUAGGACAAAUAUCCACUGCUUCCUCUGUCAUCAGUGGAGACAAUGAGAUGAAUUUUUGAAAUUACAAAUUUUGUCCACAGUAGGAAUUCCCUGAUUCUCUGAUGGCAAGAUACAAAAUCACCAGAAAACUUUCAGAAACCACUCAACUUGUGAUUUUCUUGAUUUUUCUCUUUUCAGUGACAACAUUUCAAGGAAAUUGUAGGUUUUCUUCUUCUGGUUGUUUUUCUUGCAAAGAUGUAAGUUUAUUUCACUGAGAAAAGGUUUUGAUAGCACAGCCUGAAUCACCUUUAACUUAUCACAGAGAGCAGCUUGUCCUAGCUGGGAUGGCAGCUUUGACAGCCAGCCCUUACUGAUACAAUCAGCACUGCUCUACACAUUUGUGACUGGGUGAGGGCAGAUUUGGGAUGAGAGCCACUAUGCUGGCCAGCCCAGCUGCACUGAUCUCUAGGCAGGUUUGCUCUUUUCUGCUCUUGAUCGCUGUGUUAAAUCCUCCAGCACUGACACCCAGACACAGGUACCUGGGGGCUAAAGGGUGCCUGGUUGGUCCUUCGGGUCAGCACUCUCACAGACAAAGGAGUAGAAAAGGAAAUAAAGGGAUUUAUCUUGCUGCUGGCCCA
RNAcentral lists this long non-coding RNA (1089 nucleotides) under Zonotrichia albicollis (white-throated sparrow). RNAcentral describes it as "lncRNA (ENSZALG00000004394.1)". Lineage: Eukaryota; Metazoa; Chordata; Aves; Passeriformes; Passerellidae. The record is from RNAcentral.